This 240-nucleotide unclassified non-coding RNA is filed under the name soil metagenome. RNAcentral describes it as "partial contains 5.8S ribosomal RNA, internal transcribed spacer 2, and large subunit ribosomal RNA". The record is from RNAcentral.
AACACUGUUAACCUGCGGUACCUGCGGAAGGAUCAUUAAAAAGAGUGUGUACCCCUCUGUAAAAUGAGUGGGUUACCUCCCGUCCUUUGUUGACCUCUUAGGAGGUUAUUUUGAACUUUCUGCUUCGGUGGGGUUAAACCUACCGGAACACCCUCAAAUUCUUAUCAUUUAAAAAUUGUUCAGUCUGAUUUUUGUUAAUAAAAACAAAAAACUUUCAACAACGGAUCUCAGAUCGGAAGA